GACGAACGCUGGCGGCGUGCUUAACACAUGCAAGUCGAACGGAAAGGCCUGCUUUCCCUUGUGGAUUGCGGGUACUCGAGUGGCGAACGGGUGAGUAACACGUGAGUGAUCUGCCCCCAACUUGGGUAUAAGCCUGGGAAACUGGGUCUAAUUCCCGAUAGGACUGCAGGGUGGUGCCUGUGGUGGAAAACGAUUUUCUAGUGGUUGGGGAUGAGCUCGCGGCCUAUCAGCUUGUUGGUGGGGUAAUGGCCUACCAAGGCGGCGACGGGUAGCCGGCCUGAGAGGGUGGACGGACACAUUGGGACUGAGAUACGGCCCAGACGCCUACGGGAGGCAGCAGUGGGGAAGAUUGCACAAUGGGCGGAAGCCUGAUGCAGCGACGCCGCGUGGGGGAUGACGGCCUUCGGGUUGUAAACUCCUUUCGACCGCGAGGAAGCCACCUGGUUGGAAGGGUGGUGACGGUAGUGGUAGAAGAAGCACCGGCUAACUACGUG
RNAcentral lists this ribosomal RNA (494 nucleotides) under uncultured bacterium. RNAcentral's name for it is "partial 16S ribosomal RNA". It matches the Rfam family "Bacterial small subunit ribosomal RNA", at positions 28 to 507 of the family's 1533-position model. The record is from RNAcentral.